GUGUCAGCCGCCGCGGUAAUACGGGGGGGGCAAGCGUUGUCCGGAAUCAUUGGGCGUAAAGGGUGCGUAGGCGGAAUGGUAAGUCAGGAGUGAAAGACUCGCGCUUAACGCGGGUUCUGCUUUUGAUACUGUCAUUCUUGAGUGCGGAAGAGGGAAGUGGAAUUCCCGGUGUAGCGGUGAAAUGCGUAGAUAUCGGGAAGAACACCGGUAGCGAAAGCGGCUUCCUAGUCCGUAACUGACGCUGAGGCACGAAAGCGUGGGUAGCAAACAGGAUUAGAAACCCCCGUAGUCC
Molecule: ribosomal RNA, 292 nt
Filed under: uncultured bacterium
Lineage: Bacteria
Description: partial 16S ribosomal RNA
Rfam family: Bacterial small subunit ribosomal RNA
Source: RNAcentral